GACGAACGCUGGCGGCGUGCCUAAUACAUGCAAGUAGAACGCUGAAGGAGGAGCUUGCUCUUCUGGAUGAGUUGCGAACGGGUGAGUAACGCGUAGGUAACCUGCCUGGUAGCGGGGGAUAACUAUUGGAAACGAUAGCUAAUACCGCAUAAGAGUAGAUGUUGCAUGACAUUUACUUAAAAGGUGCAAUUGCAUCACUACCAGAUGGACCUGCGUUGUAUUAGCUAGUUGGUGGGGUAACGGCUUACCAAGGCGACGAUACAUAGCCGACCUGAGAGGGGGAUCGGCCAUACUGGGACUGAGACACGGCCCAGACUCCUACGGGAGGCAGCAGUAGGGAAUCUUCGGCAAUGGACGGAAGUCUGACCGAGCAACGCCGCGUGAGUGAAGAAGGUUUUCGGAUCGUAAAGCUCUGUUGUAAGAGAAGAACGAGUGUGAGAGUGGAAAGUUCACACUGUGACGGUAUCUUACCAGAAAGGGACGGCUAACUACGUGC
Molecule: ribosomal RNA, 496 nt
Filed under: uncultured bacterium
Lineage: Bacteria
Description: partial 16S ribosomal RNA
Rfam family: Bacterial small subunit ribosomal RNA
Source: RNAcentral